AUUGAACGCUGGCGGCAUGCCUUACACAUGCAAGUCGAACGGCAGCGGACCUUCGGUGCCGGCGAGUGGCGAACGGGUGAGUAAUAUAUCGGAACGUACCUUUCAGUGGGGGAGUAACGUAGCGAAAGUUACGCUAAUACCGCAUAUUCUGUGAGCAGGAAAGCAGGGGAUCGCAAGACCUUGCGCUGAUUGAGCGGCCGAUAUCAGAUUAGCUAGUUGGUGAGGUAAAGGACUCACCAAGGCGACGAUCUGUAGCGGGUCGUGAGAGGAUGAUCCGCCACACUGGAACUGAGACACGGUCCAGACUCCUACGGGAGGCGAGCAGUGGGGAAGUUUU
Molecule: ribosomal RNA, 337 nt
Filed under: uncultured bacterium
Lineage: Bacteria
Description: bacterial SSU rRNA
Rfam family: Bacterial small subunit ribosomal RNA
Source: RNAcentral